ACCCUUUCCCCGGAGUUCGGAUCCAUUUGCCGACUUCCUUACCUACUUAGUCUAUCAGCCAGAGGCUCUCGAACCUCGGAGACCUGGGCGGGUGAGUAACACGUGAGUAACCUACCCUUGACUCUGGGAUAAGCCCGGGAAACUGGGUCUAAUACCGGAUAGGAACGUCCACCGCAUGGUGGUUGUUGGAAAGAUUUAUCGGUCAUGGAUGGACUCGCGGCCUAUCAGCUUGUUGGUGAGGUAAUGGCUCACCAAGGCGACGACGGGUAGCCGGCCUGAGAGGGUGACCGGCCACACUGGGACUGAGACACGGCCCAGACUCCUACGGGAGGCAGCAGUGGGGAAUAUUGCACAAUGGGCGAAAGCCUGAUGCAGCGACGCCGCGUGAGGGAUGACGGCCUUCGGGUUGUAAACCUCUUUCAGUAGGGAAGAAGCGAAAGUGACGGUACCUGCAGAAGAAGCACCGGCUAACUACGUGCCAGCAGCCGCGGUAAUACGUAGGGUGCGAGCGUUAUCCGGAAUUAUUGGGCGUAAAGAGCUCGUAGGCGGUUUGUCGCGUCUGUCGUGAAAGUCCGGGGCUUAACCCCGGAUCUGCGGUGGGUACGGGCAGACUAGAGUGCAGUAGGGGAGACUGGAAUUCCUGGUGUAGCGGUGGAAUGCGCAGAUAUCAGGAGGAACACCGAUGGCGAAGGCAGGUCUCUGGGCUGUAACUGACGCUGAGGAGCGAAAGCAUGGGGAGCGAACAGGAUUAGAUACCCUGGUAGUCCAUGCCGUAAACGUUGGGCACUAGGUGUGGGGACCAUUCCACGGUUUCCGCGCCCGCAGCUAACGCAUUAAGUGCCCCGCCCGGGGGAGUACGGCCGCAAGGGCUAAAAACUCCAAAGGAAUUUGACGGGGGGCCCGGCACAAAGCGGCGGAAGCAAGGCGGAAUUAAUUUCGAUGCAACCCCGAAGAAACCUUACCCAAGGGCUUUGACAUUGUUUCUCGAAUCGC
Molecule: ribosomal RNA, 993 nt
Filed under: Micrococcus luteus
Lineage: Bacteria; Bacillati; Actinomycetota; Actinomycetes; Micrococcales; Micrococcaceae
Description: bacterial SSU rRNA
Rfam family: Bacterial small subunit ribosomal RNA
Source: RNAcentral